CGCAUCCGAAGAUUGACACCUGUAAGCCUCGGUCGAAGUCGAAGGGUUUGAGCGGUGAAGGAAAUCGUGGGCACUCAAAGAAAUCGUGGGUAGUUAUUCGUCAAAGUGGGGGAAGUGGAUCGACGCGUGGCAUCAUGGGAGGGUUUUGUAACCUCCAGACGGUUAUUUCCAACUAGUAUUUAAGCCAAUGUUAGGUGAGAUUUUAGAGGUGGCAUUUUGAACAUUUGCAGUAGGGGUAAAACUUGAAGUAUC
RNAcentral lists this long non-coding RNA (252 nucleotides) under Lathyrus oleraceus (garden pea). RNAcentral's name for it is "Pisum sativum (pea) long non-coding RNA (PSAT_LNC037301)". The record is from RNAcentral. Lineage: Eukaryota; Viridiplantae; Streptophyta; Magnoliopsida; Fabales; Fabaceae.